UGCCCUAGUAACGGCGAGUGAAGCGGCAACAGCUCAAAUUUGAAAGCUAGCCUUCGGGUUCGCAUUGUAAUUUGUAGAGGAUGCUUUGGGUAAAACGCCAGUCUAAGUUCCUUGGAACAGGACGUCAUAGAGGGUGAGAAUCCCGUAUGUGACUGGAAAUGUUAACCUAUGUAAAGCUCCUUCGACGAGUCGAGUUGUUUGGGAAUGCAGCUCUAAAUGGGAGGUAAAUUUCUUCUAAAGCUAAAUAUUGGCGAGAGACCGAUAGCGCACAAGUAGAGUGAUCGAAAGAUGAAAAGCACUUUGGAAAGAGAGUUAAAAAGCACGUGAAAUUGUUGAAAGGGAAGCGCUUGCAAUCAGACUUGUUUAAACUGUUCGGCCGGUCUUCUGACCGGUUUACUCAGUUUGGACAGGCCAGCAUCAGUUUCGGCGGCCGGAUAAAGGCUCUGGGAAUGUGGCCUCCACUUCGGUGGAGGUGUUAUAGCCCAGUGUGUAAUACGGCCAGCCGGGACUGAGGUCCGCGCUUCGGCUAGGAUGCUGGCGUAAUGGUUGUAAGCGACCCGUCUUGAAACACGGACCAAGGAGUCUAACAUCUAUGCGAGUGUUCGGGUGUCAAACCCCUGCGCGUAAUGAAAGUGAACGGAGGUGGGAACCGCAAGGUG
Molecule: ribosomal RNA, 659 nt
Filed under: Aureobasidium sp.
Lineage: Eukaryota; Fungi; Ascomycota; Dothideomycetes; Dothideales; Saccotheciaceae
Description: partial large subunit ribosomal RNA
Rfam family: Eukaryotic large subunit ribosomal RNA
Source: RNAcentral